Molecule: long non-coding RNA, 310 nt
Organism: Poecilia latipinna (sailfin molly)
Lineage: Eukaryota; Metazoa; Chordata; Actinopteri; Cyprinodontiformes; Poeciliidae
Exons: 2
Source: RefSeq, a predicted model, not a curated record
UGGUUUUAGAGGACAAGGGUCAAUCUGAGUUCUGGGUUUGCUUUGAUCCAUCUUUCUGUACGGACUUAAUGCACCGUAUUGUGGAUGAGACGCUUACAAUCAAUUACUUGGACCUCCCACAACAAGAAUGUGUGAAAUUGUAUGCUGAGGUCCACUUUCCGAACGUUCAGUUUUCUUCAACAAUUGUGGACUUUGGUUGCUUGCAAAACUGCUCAGAGAUAAAGAGAAGGAUAACAAUGACCAACUGCUUUCAGCUGCCGGUGUGCUACAACGGGGCUUUUAUGGAGUACCAAAAACGCCCUCAUAGGAG